CGAUUGUAAUCUUGUUUGUCACCUUCGAAGAAAUCUUGCGUGUCCCCUUAGAGGUUUUAUUGGUUUGAUUACCAUAUUAAGGGUUUGGUGGUUUAAUUCCAAGAUUUAGGAUUCAUGGGUUUGAUUAUUAACAUCCUGAUUUUUGUGGCAAGACAGGGGGGUGUUAUUCGGAAUGCUUGGGCGUAAAGGGCACGUAGGCGGUGACUCGGGUUGAAAGUGAAAGUCGCCAAAAAGUGGCGGAAUGCUCUCCAAACCAAAUCACUUGAGUGAGAUAGAGGAGAGUGGAAUUUCGUGUGUAGGGUGAAAUUCGUAAAUAUACGAAGGAACGCCGAAAGCGAAGGCAACUCUCUAGGUCCCUACCGGCGCUGGGGUGCGAAAGCAUGGUGAGCGAACAUGAUUUGAUACCCUGGUAGUCCAUGCCGUAAACAAUGAGUGUUCGCCCUUGGUAUACGCGGAUCAGGGCCCAGUUAACGCGUGAAACACUUCGCA
This 489-nucleotide long non-coding RNA is filed under the name Helianthus annuus (common sunflower). RNAcentral describes it as "Eukaryotic small subunit ribosomal RNA". The stretch from base 95 to 489 matches the Rfam family "Bacterial small subunit ribosomal RNA", at positions 1 to 873 of the family's 1533-position model. The record is from RNAcentral. Lineage: Eukaryota; Viridiplantae; Streptophyta; Magnoliopsida; Asterales; Asteraceae.